RNAcentral lists this ribosomal RNA (429 nucleotides) under Gemmatimonadota bacterium. Its description in RNAcentral is "Gemmatimonadetes bacterium partial 16S ribosomal RNA". It matches the Rfam family "Bacterial small subunit ribosomal RNA", at positions 355 to 776 of the family's 1533-position model. Lineage: Bacteria; Pseudomonadati; Gemmatimonadota. The record is from RNAcentral.
UAGGGAAUCUUCGGCAAUGGACGAAAGUCUGACCGAGCAACGCCGCGUGAGUGAAGAAGGUUUUCGGAUCGUAAAACUCUGUUGUUAGAGAAGAACAAGGACGUUAGUAACUGAACGUCCCCUGACGGUAUCUAACCAGAAAGCCACGGCUAACUACGUGCCAGCAGCCGCGGUAAUACGUAGGUGGCGAGCGUUGUCCGGAUUUAUUGGGCGUAAAGCGAGCGCAGGCGGUUUCUUAAGUCUGGUGUGAAAGCCCCCGGCUCAACCGGGGAGGGUCAUUAGAAACUGGGAGACUUGAGUGCAGGAGAGGAGAGUGGAAUUCCAUGUGUAGCGGUGAAAUGCGUAGAUAUAUGGAGGAACACCAGUGGCGAAGGCGGCUCUCUGGUCUGUAACUGACGCUGAGGCUCGAAAGCGUGGGGAGCAAACAGG